RNAcentral lists this long non-coding RNA (296 nucleotides) under Vitis vinifera (wine grape). RNAcentral's name for it is "long non-coding RNA (VVIN_LNC007934)". The record is from RNAcentral. Lineage: Eukaryota; Viridiplantae; Streptophyta; Magnoliopsida; Vitales; Vitaceae.
UAAUUGAUUCCCGAGAGCAUACCGCCUAGUAUCCGCCAUGGACGCCAUGAAGCUAUUCACUCCGAUCUCAAACCUACAACAAAAUCAUCGCCUAGAACUUCCUGAUAUGAGACAAAGACACCGAGAUGUGAUCGGAGUGAGGGUGGAUGGGGAAGGAAGCUUAGAUCGACGCGGUGGAUUGCAAUAAUUAGGAAGUCGCGAGGAAAGGUGAGAUCGCCGCCGAAGAGGAAUUCGUACAGAAACGGUCACACUGGUGCCGAAGACUUCAGUCUUUUGACGUAAGUUUCGGGAUAUUG